ACCUGCCUGUAAGACUGGGAUAACUCCGGGAAACCGGGGCUAAUACCGGAUGGUUGUUUGAACCGCAUGGUUCAAACAUAAAAGGUGGCUUCGGCUACCACUUACAGAUGGACCCGCGGCGCAUUAGCUAGUUGGUGAGGUAACGGCUCACCAAGGCAACGAUGCGUAGCCGACCUGAGAGGGUGAUCGGCCACACUGGGACUGAGACACGGCCCAGACUCCUACGGGAGGCAGCAGUAGGGAAUCUUCCGCAAUGGACGAAAGUCUGACGGAGCAACGCCGCGUGAGUGAUGAAGGUUUUCGGAUCGUAAAGCUCUGUUGUUAGGGAAGAACAAGUACCGUUCGAAUAGGGCGGUACCUUGACGGUACCUAACCAGAAAGCCACGGCUAACUACGUGCCAGCAGCCGCGGUAAUACGUAGGUGGCAAGCGUUGUCCGGAAUUAUUGGGCGUAAAGGGCUCGCAGGCGGUUUCUUAAGUCUGAUGUGAAAGCCCCCGGCUCAACCGGGGAGGGUCAUUGGAAACUGGGGAACUUGAGUGCAGAAGAGGAGAGUGGAAUUCCACGUGUAGCGGUGAAAUUGCUUAAAAGAUGUGGAAGGAACACCAGUUGGCGAAAGGCGACUCUCUGGUCUGUAACUGACGCUGAGGAGCGAAAAGCGUGGGGAGCCAAACAGGAUUAGAUACCCUGGUAGUCCACGCCGUAAACCAAUGAGUGCUAAGUGUUAGGGGGUUUCCGCCCCCUUAGUGGCUGCAGCCUAACGCCAUUAAGCCACUCCGCCCUGGGGGUACGGUCCGGAAGAACUGUAAACUAAAAAGAAUUUGAACGGGGGGCCCGCCACAAACCGU
RNAcentral lists this ribosomal RNA (845 nucleotides) under Bacillus subtilis. RNAcentral's name for it is "bacterial SSU rRNA". It matches the Rfam family "Bacterial small subunit ribosomal RNA", at positions 124 to 933 of the family's 1533-position model. The record is from RNAcentral. Lineage: Bacteria; Bacillati; Bacillota; Bacilli; Caryophanales; Bacillaceae.